RNAcentral lists this long non-coding RNA (14265 nucleotides) under Xyrichtys novacula (pearly razorfish). Lineage: Eukaryota; Metazoa; Chordata; Actinopteri; Labriformes; Labridae. The record is from RNAcentral.
UUGAACUUGAGUCUGUGUUGUUUUGAACUUGAGGAUGUGGCAAUUGUUAAACUUGACAAUCAGGUGUUGGUUGAACUUGAGUUUGUGUCGUGUUUGAACUUGAGUUCGUGUUGUUUGUUUAACUUGAGGUUGUGUGUUUUUUGAACUUGAGGUUGUGAAAAUUUUUAAACUUGAAAAUCAGGUGUUGGUUGAACUUGAGUUUGUGUUUUUUUUUGUCGGGUUUUACCUUGAGUUUGUAGUUUUUUGUACUUGAUUUUAUGGUGUUUUUGAACUUGAGUUUGUGUCGUGUUUGAACUUGAGUUUGUGUUGUGUUUGAACUUGAGUUUGUGGUGUUUUUGAAAUUGAGUUUGUGUGUUUGGUGAACUUGAAUUUGUGUGUUUUUUUAACUUGAGUUUCUGUUGUUUUUGAACUUGAGGUUGUGGAAAUUGUUAAACUUGAGAAUCAGGUGUUGGUUGAACUUGAGUUUGUAGUUUUUUUUUAACUUGAGUUAGUGAUGUGUUUAAACUUGAGUUUGUGUUGUUUUGGCACUUGAGUUUGUUUCGUGUUUGAACUUGAGUUUUCUGCGUUUGUUGAACUUGAGUUUUUUUCAUUUUGAACUUGAGUUUGUGGUGUUAUUGAACUUGAGUUUGUGGUGUUUUUGAACUUGAGGGUGUGGAUUUUGUUAAACUUGAGAAUUUUGUAUUGUUUGAACUUGAGUUUGUGUGUUUUUUGAACUUGAGUUUGUGUCGUGUUUGAACUUGAGUUCGUGUUGAUUGUUGAACUGGAGUUUUUGUGUUUUUUGAACUUGAGGUUGUGGCAAUUGUUAGACUUGAGAUUUGGGUGUUGGUUGAACUUGAGUUUGUGUCGUGUUUGAACUUGAGUUCGUGUUGAUUGUUGAACUUGAGUUUGUGUGUUUUUUGAACUUGAGAUUUUGUCGUGUUUGAACUUGAGUAUGUUGUGUAAUUGAACUUGAGUUGAGUCUGGUUUUUAAACUUAAGGUUGCGGAACUGUUAAACUUGAAAAUCAGGUAUUAGUGUAACUUGAGUUUGUGGUUUUAUUUAACUUCAGUUUGUGUCGUGUUUGAACUUGAGUUUGUAGUGUUUUUGAACUUGAGUUUGUGGUGUUUUUGAACUUGAGUUUGUUUCGUAUUUGAACAUGAGUUUGUGGCGUUUGUUGAACUUGAGUUUUUGUCGUGUUUGAACUUGAGGUUGUGGCAAUUGUUUUACUUGAGAUUUUGUUGUUGGUUGACCUUUAGUUUGUGUCACAUUUGAACUUGAGUUUGUGGUGUUUUUGAACUUGAAUUUGUGUGUUUCGUGAACUUGAGUUUAUGGUGUUUUCGAACUUGAAUCUGUUGUUGAACUUGAGGUUGUUGAAAUUGUUAAACUUGAGAAUUGGGUAUUGGUUGAACUUGAGAUUGUGAUUUUGUUUAACUUGAGUUUUUGUUGUGUUUCAACUUGAGUUUCUGAUGUUCUUGAAUUUGAGUUUGUGUGUUUGUUGAACUUGAGUUUGUUUCGUGUUUGAACUUGAGUUUGUGUCAUUUUUGAACUUGAGGUUGUGGUGUGUUUGAACUUGAGUUUGUGUGUAUUUUGAACUUAAGGUUGUGGUAAUUUUAAAACUUGAGAUUUGGGAAUUGGUUGAACUUGAGUCUGUGUUGUUGUUGAACUUGAGGUUUUUGAAAUUGUGAAACUUGAGAAUUGGGUAUUGGUUGAACUUGAGUUUGUGAUUUUGUUGAACUUGAGUUUGUGUCGUGUUUAAACUUGAGUUUGUGGUGUUUUUGAACUUGAGUUUGUGUUGUGUUUGAACUUGAGUUUGUUUCUUUCUUGACUUGAGUUUGUGGCAUUUGUUGAACUUGAGUUUGUGUCGUGUUUGAACUUGAAUUUGUGGUGUUUUCGAACUUGAGUUUGUGGUGUUUUUGAACUUGAGGUUGUGGUGUUUUUGAACUUGAGGAUGUGGAAAUUGUUCAACUUGAGAAUUGGGUAUUGGUUUAACUUGAGUUUUUUGUGUUUUUGAACUUGAGUUUGUGUCGUGUUUGAACUUGAGUUUGUGGUGUUUUUGAACUUGAAUUUGGGUGUUUGGUGAACUUGAGUUUUUGUGUUUUUUGAACUUGAGUUUCUGUUGUUUUUGAACUUGAGUUUGUGGAAAUUGUUGUGGAAAAACUUGAGAAUUUGGUAUUUGUUGAACUUGAGUCUGUGUUGUUGUUGAACUUGAGGUUGUUGAAAUUGUGAAACUUGAGAAUUGGGUAUUGGUUGAACUUGAGUUUGUGAUUUUUUUUAACUUGAGUUUGUGUCAUGUUUUAACUUGAGUUUGUGAUGUUUUUGAAUUUGAGUUUGUGUGUUUGUUGAACUUGAGUUUGUGUUGUGUUUGAACUUGAAUUUGUGGCAAAUGUUGAACUUGAGUCUGUGCUUUUUGGUGAACUUUAGUUGGUGGGAAUUGUUGAACUUGAGUUUGUGGCAUAUGUUGAACUUGAGUUUGUGACGUGUUUGAACUUGCGUUAGUUUUUUUUUUACUUGAGGUUGUGGUGUUUUUGAACUUGAGGUUUUGGAAAUUGUUUAACUUGAGAAUUGGGUAUUGGUUUAACUUGAGUUUGUGUGUUUGUUGAACUUGAGGUUGUGGCAAUUGUUAAACUUGAGUUUGUGUGUUUUUUGAACUUGAGUUUGCGGUGUGUUUGAACUAGAGUUUCUGUUGUUUUUGAACUUGAGUUUGUGGCAUUUGUUGAACUUGAGUUUGUGACGUGUUUGAACUUGGGUUUGUGUGUUUUUUGAACUUGAAUUUCUGUUGUUUUUGAACUUGAGGUAUUGGAAAUUGUUAAACCUUAGAAUCAGCUGUUGGUUGAACUUGAGUUUGUGUUUUGUUGAACUUGAGUUUGUGUCGUGUUUGAACUUUAGUUUGUGGUGUUUUUGAACUUGAGUUUGUGUGUUUGUUGAACUUGAGUUUGUGUUGUGUUUGAACUUGAGUUUGUGGUGUUUUUUAACUUAAGUUUGUGGUGUUUUUGAACUUGAGUUUGUGUGUUUGUUGAACUUGAGUUUGCGGUGUGUUUGAACUAGAGUUUCUGUUGUUUUUGAACUUGAGUUUGUGGCAUUUGUUGAACUUGAGUUUGUGACGUGUUUGAACUUGGGUUUGUGUGUUUUUUGAACUUGAAUUUCUGUUGUUUUUGAACUUGAGGUAUUGGAAAUUGUUAAACCUUAGAAUCAGCUGUUGGUUGAACUUGAGUUUGUGUUUUGUUGAACUUGAGUUUGUGUCGUGUUUGAACUUUAGUUUGUGGUGUUUUUGAACUUGAGCUUGUGUGUUUGUUGAACUUGAGUUUGUGUUGUGUUUGAACUUGAGGUUGUGGCAAUUGUUAAACUUGAGUUUGUGGUGUUUUUGAACUUGAGUUUGCGGUGUGUUUGAACUAGAGUUUCUGUUGUUUUUGAAUUUGAGUUUGUGGCAUUUGUUGAACUUGAGUUUGUGACAUGUUUGAACUUGGGUUUGUGUGUUUUUUGAACUUGAAUUUCUGUUGUUUUUGAACUUGAGGUAUUGGAAAUUGUUAAACCUUAGAAUCAGCUGUUGGUUGAACUUGAGUUUGUGUUUUGUUGAACUUGAGUUUGUGUCGUGUUUGAACUUUGGUUUGUGGUGUUUUUGAACUUGAGUUUGUGGUGUUUUUGAACUUAAGUUUGUGGUGUUUUUCAACUUGAGUUCGUGGUUUUUUUUAACUUGAGGUUGUGGAAAUUGUUAUACUUGAGACCUGGGUAUAGGUCGAACUUGAGGUUUUUUUUUUUAACAUGAGUUUGUGUCGUGUUUGAACUUGAGUUUGUGGUGUUUUUGGACUUGAGUUUGUGGUGUUUUUAACUUAAGGGUGUGCCAAAUGUUAAACUUGAGAAACUGGUAUUGGUUGAACUAGAGUUUUUGGUGUUUUUGAACUUGAGUUUUUGGAAAUUGUUAAACUUGAGAAUCAGAUGUUGGAUGAACUUGAGUUAGUGUGUUUUUUGAACUUGAGUUUGUGUCAUGUUUUAACUUGAGUUUGUGAUGUUUUUGAAUUUGAGUUUGUGUGUUUGUUGAACUUGAGUUUGUGUUGUGUUUGAACUUGAAUUUGUGGCAAAUGUUGAAAUUGAGUCUUUGCUUUUUGGUGAACUUUAGUUGGUGGGAAUUGUUGAACUUGAGUUUGUGGCAUAUGUUGAACUUGAGUUUGUGACGUGUUUGAACUUGCGUUAGUUUUUUUUUUACUUGAGGUUGUGGUGUUUUUGAACUUGAGGUUUUGGAAAUUGUUUAACUUGAGAAUUGGGUAUUGGUUUAACUUGAGUUUGUGUGUUUGUUGAACUUGAGGUUGUGGCAAUUGUUAAACUUGAGUUUGUGGUGUUUUUGAACUUGAGUUUGUGUGUUUUUUGAACUUGAGUUUGCGGUGUGUUUGAACUAGAGUUUCUGUUGUUUUUGAACUUGAGUUUGUGGCAUUUGUUGAACUUGAGUUUGUGACGUGUUUGAACUUGGGUUUGUGUGUUUUUUGAACUUGAAUUUCUGUUGUUUUUGAACUUGAGGUAUUGGAAAUUGUUAAACCUUAGAAUCAGCUGUUGGUUGAACUUGAGUUUGUGUUUUCUUGAACUUGAGUUUGUGUCGUGUUUGAACUUUAGUUUGUGGUGUUUUUGAACUUGAGUUUGUGUGUUUGUUGAACUUGAGUUUGUGUUGUGUUUGAACUUGAGUUUGUGGUGUUUUUGAACUAGAGUUUCUGUUGUUUUUGAACUUGAGUUUGUGGCAUUUGUUGAACUUGAGUUUGUGACGUGUUUGAACUUGGGUUUGUGUGUUUUUUGAACUUGAAUUUCUGUUGUUUUUGAACUUGAGGUAUUGGAAAUUGUUAAACCUUAGAAUCAGCUGUUGGUUGAACUUGAGUUUGUGUCGUGUUUGAACUUUAGUUUGUGGUGUUUUUGAACUUGAGCUUGUGUGUUUGUUGAACUUGAGUUUGUGUUGUGUUUGAACUUGAGGUUGUGGCAAUUGUUAAACUUGAGUUUGUGGUGUUUUUGAACUUGAGUUUGCGGUGUGUUUGAACUAGAGUUUCUGUUGUUUUUGAAUUUGAGUUUGUGGCAUUUGUUGAACUUGAGUUUGUGACAUGUUUGAACUUGGGUUUGUGUGUUUUUUGAACUUGAAUUUCUGUUGUUUUUGAACUUGAGGUAUUGGAAAUUGUUAAACCUUAGAAUCAGCUGUUGGUUGAACUUGAGUUUGUGUUUUGUUGAACUUGAGUUUGUGUCGUGUUUGAACUUUGGUUUGUGGUGUUUUAGAACUUGAGUUUGUGUGUUUGUUGAACUUGAGUUUGUGUUUUGUUGAACUUGAGUUUGUGUCGUGUUUGAACUUUGGUUUGUGGUGUUUUUGAACUUGAGUUUGUGUGUUUGUUGAACUUGAGUUUGUGUUGUGUUUGAACUUGAGUUUGUGGUGUUUUUGAACUUAAGUUUGUGGUGUUUUUCAACUUGAGUUUGUGGUUUUUUUUAACUUGAGGUUGUGGAAAUUGUUAUACUUGAGACCUGGGUAUAGGUCGAACUUGAGUUUUUUUUUUUAACAUGAGUUUGUGUCGUGUUUGAACUUGAGCUUGUGGUGUUUUUGGACUUUAGUUUGUGGUGUUUUUGAACUUGAGUUUGUGUGUUUGUUGAACUUGAGUUUGUGUUGUGUUUGAACUUGAGUUUGUGGUGUUUUUUAACUUAAGUUUGUGGUGUUUUUGAACUUGAGUUUGUGUGUUUGUUGAACUUGAGUUUGCGGUGUGUUUGAACUAGAGUUUCUGUUGUUUUUGAACUUGAGUUUGUGUGUUUGUUGAACUUGAGUUUGUGUUGUGUUUGAACUUGAGUUUGUGGUGUUUUUGAACUUGAGUUUGUGUGUUUGUUGAACUUGAGUUUGUGUUGUGUUUGAACUUGAGGUUUUGGAAAUUGUUUAACUUGAGAAUUGGGUAUUGGUUUAACUUGAGUUUGUGUGUUUGUUGAACUUGAGGUUGUGGCAAUUGUUAAACUUGAGUUUGUGGUGUUUUUGAACUUGAGUUUGUGUGUUUUUUGAACUUGAGUUUGCGGUGUGUUUGAACUAGAGUUUCUGUUGUUUUUGAACUUGAGUUUGUGGCAUUUGUUGAACUUGAGUUUGUGACGUGUUUGAACUUGGGUUUGUGUGUUUUUUGAACUUGAAUUUCUGUUGUUUUUGAACUUGAGGUAUUGGAAAUUGUUAAACCUUAGAAUCAGCUGUUGGUUGAACUUGAGUUUGUGUUUUCUUGAACUUGAGUUUGUGUCGUGUUUGAACUUUAGUUUGUGGUGUUUUUGAACUUGAGUUUGUGUGUUUGUUGAACUUGAGUUUGUGUUGUGUUUGAACUUGAGUUUGUGGUGUUUUUGAACUAGAGUUUCUGUUGUUUUUGAACUUGAGUUUGUGGCAUUUGUUGAACUUGAGUUUGUGACGUGUUUGAACUUGGGUUUGUGUGUUUUUUGAACUUGAAUUUCUGUUGUUUUUGAACUUGAGGUAUUGGAAAUUGUUAAACCUUAGAAUCAGCUGUUGGUUGAACUUGAGUUUGUGUCGUGUUUGAACUUUAGUUUGUGGUGUUUUUGAACUUGAGCUUGUGUGUUUGUUGAACUUGAGUUUGUGUUGUGUUUGAACUUGAGUUUGUGGCAAUUGUUAAACUUGAGUUUGUGGUGUUUUUGAACUUGAGUUUGCGGUGUGUUUGAGCUAGAGUUUCUGUUGUUUUUGAAUUUGAGUUUGUGGCAUUUGUUGAACUUGAGUUUGUGACAUGUUUGAACUUGGGUUUGUGUGUUUUUUGAACUUGAAUUUCUGUUGUUUUUGAACUUGAGAUAUUGGAAAUUGUUAAACCUUAGAAUCAGCUGUUGGUUGAACUUGAGUUUGUGUUUUGUUGAACUUGAGUUUGUGUCGUGUUUGAACUUUGGUUUGUGGUGUUUUAGAACUUGAGUUUGUGUGUUUGUUGAACUUGAGUUUGUGUUUUGUUGAACUUGAGUUUGUGUCGUGUUUGAACUUUGGUUUGUGGUGUUUUUGAACUUGAGUUUGUGGUGUUUUUGAACUUAAGUUUGUGGUGUUUUUCAACUUGAGUUUGUGGUUUUUUUUAACUUGAGGUUGUGGAAAUUGUUAUACUUGAGACCUGGGUAUAGGUCGAACUUGAGUUUUUUUUUUUAACAUGAGUUUGUGUCGUGUUUGAACUUGAGCUUGUGGUGUUUUUGGACUUUAGUUUGUGGUGUUUUUGAACUUGAGUUUGUGUGUUUGUUGAACUUGAGUUUGUGUUGUGUUUGAACUUGAGUUUGUGGUGUUUUUUAACUUAAGUUUGUGGUGUUUUUGAACUUGAGUUUGUGUGUUUGUUGAACUUGAGUUUGCGGUGUGUUUGAACUAGAGUUUCUGUUGUUUUUGAACUUGAGUUUGUGUGUUUGUUGAACUUGAGUUUGUGUUGUGUUUGAACUUGAGUUUGUGGUGUUUUUGAACUUGAGUUUGUGUGUUUGUUGAACUUGAGUUUGUGUUGUGUUUGAACUUGAGUUUGUGGUGUUUUUGAACUUAAGUUUGUGGUGUUUUUGAACUUGAGUUUGUGUGUUUGUUGAACUUGAGUUUGCGGUGUGUUUGAACUAGAGUUUCUGUUGUUUUUGAACUUGAGUUUGUGGCAUUUGUUGAACUUGAGUUUGUGACGUGUUUGAACUUGGGUUUGUGUGUUUUUUGAACUUGAAUUUCUGUUGUUUUUGAACUUGAGGUAUUGGAAAUUGUUAAACCUUAGAAUCAGCUGUUGGUUGAACUUGAGUUUGUGUUUUGUUGAACUUGAGUUUGUGUUGUGUUUGAACUUGAGUUUGUGGUGUUUUUGAACUUGAGCUUGUGUGUUUGUUGAACUUGAGUUUGUGUUGUGUUUGAACUUGAGGUUGUGGCAAUUGUUAAACUUGAGUUUGUGGUGUUUUUGAACUUGAGUUUGUGUGUUUGUUGAACUUGAGUUUGCGGUGUGUUUGAACUAGAGUUUCUGUUGUUUUUGAACUUGAGUUUAUGGCAUUUGUUGAACUUGAGUUUGUGACGUGUUUGAACUUGGGUUUGUGUGUUUUUUGAACUUGAAUUUCUGUUGUUUUUGAACUUGAGGUAUUGGAAAUUGUUAAACCUUAGAAUCAGCUGUUGGUUGAACUUGAGUUUGUGUUUUGUUGAACUUGAGUUUGUGUCGUGUUUGAACUUUAGUUUGUGGUGUUUUUGAACUUGAGCUUGUGUGUUUGUUGAACUUGAGUUUGUGUUGUGUUUGAACUUGAGGUUGUGGCAAUUGUUAAACUUGAGUUUGUGGUGUUUUUGAACUUGAGUUUGCGGUGUGUUUGAACUAGAGUUUCUGUUGUUUUUGAAUUUGAGUUUGUGGCAUUUGUUGAACUUGAGUUUGUGACAUGUUUGAACUUGGGUUUGUGUGUUUUUUGAACUUGAAUUUCUGUUGUUUUUGAACUUGAGGUAUUGGAAAUUGUUAAACCUUAGAAUCAGCUGUUGGUUGAACUUGAGUUUGUGUUUUGUUGAACUUGAGUUUGUGUCGUGUUUGAACUUUGGUUUGUGGUGUUUUUGAACUUGAGUUUGUGGUGUUUUUCAACUUGAGUUCGUGGUUUUUUUUAACUUGAGGUUGUGGAAAUUGUUAUACUUGAGACCUGGGUAUAGGUCGAACUUGAGUUUUUUUUUUAACAUGAGUUUGUGUCGUGUUUGAACUUGAGUUUGUGGUGUUUUUGGACUUGAGUUUGUGGUGUUUUUAACUUAAGGGUGUGCCAAAUGUUAAACUUGAGAAACUGGUAUUGGUUGAACUAGAGUUUUUGGUGUUUUUGAACUUGAGUUUUUGGAAAUUGUUAAACUUGAGAAUCAGAUGUUAGAUGAACUUGAGUUAGUGUGUUUUUUGAACUUGAGUUUGUGUCAUGUUUUAACUUGAGUUUGUGAUGUUUUUGAAUUUGAGUUUGUUUGUUUGUUGAACUUGAGUUUGUGUUGUGUUUGAACUUGAAUUUGUGGCAAAUGUUGAACUUGAGUUUGUGCUUUUUGGUGAACUUUAGUUGGUGGGAAUUGUUGAACUUGAGUUUGUGGCAUAUGUUGAACUUGAGUUUGUGACGUGUUUGAACUUGCGUUAGUUUUUUUUUUUACUUGAGGUUGUGGUGUUUUUGAACUUGAGGUUUUGGAAAUUGUUUAACUUGAGAAUUGGGUAUUGGUUUAACUUGAGUUUGUGUGUUUGUUGAACUUGAGGUUGUGGCAAUUGUUAAACUUGAGUUUGUGGUGUUUUUGAACUUGAGUUUGUGUGUUUUUUGAACUUGAGUUUGCGGUGUGUUUGAACUAGAGUUUCUGUUGUUUUUGAACUUGAGUUUGUGGCAUUUGUUGAACUUGAGUUUGUGACGUGUUUGAACUUGGGUUUGUGUGUUUUUUGAACUUGAAUUUCUGUUGUUUUUGAACUUGAGGUAUUGGAAAUUGUUAAACCUUAGAAUCAGCUGUUGGUUGAACUUGAGUUUGUGUUUUGUUGAACUUGAGUUUGUGUUGUGUUUGAACUUGAGUUUGUGGUGUUUUUGAACUUAAGUUUGUGGUGUUUUUGAACUUGAGUUUGCGGUGUGUUUGAACUAGAGUUUCUGUUGUUUUUGAACUUGAGUUUGUGGCAUUUGUUGAACUUGAGUUUGGGACGUGUUUGAACUUGGGUUUGUGUGUUUUUUGAACUUGAAUUUCUGUUGUUUUUGAACUUGAGGUAUUGGAAAUUGUUAAACCUUAGAAUCAGCUGUUGGUUGAACUUGAGUUUGUGUUUUCUUGAACUUGAGUUUGUGUCGUGUUUGAACUUUAGUUUGUGGUGUUUUUGAACUUGAGUUUGUGUGUUUGUUGAACUUGAGUUUGUGUUGUGUUUGAACUUGAGUUUGUGGUGUUUUUGAACUUAAGUUUGUGGUGUUUUUCAAUUUGAGUUUGUGUGUUUGUUGAACUUGAGUUUGCGGUGUGUUUGAACUAGAGUUUCUGUUGUUUUUGAACUUGAGUUUGUGGCAUUUGUUGAACUUGAGUUUGUGACGUGUUUGAACUUGGGUUUGUGUGUUUUUUGAACUUGAAUUUCUGUUGUUUUUGAACUUGAGGUAUUGGAAAUUGUUAAACCUUAGAAUCAGCUGUUGGUUGAACUUGAGUUUGUGUUUUGUUGAACUUGAGUUUGUGUCGUGUUUGAACUUUAGUUUGUGGUGUUUUUGAACUUGAGCUUGUGUGUUUGUUGAACUUGAGUUUGUGUUGUGUUUGAACUUGAGGUUGUGGCAAUUGUUAAACUUGAGUUUGUGGUGUUUUUGAACUUGAGUUUGCGGUGUGUUUGAGCUAGAGUUUCUGUUGUUUUUGAAUUUGAGUUUGUGGCAUUUGUUGAACUUGAGUUUGUGACAUGUUUGAACUUGGGUUUGUGUGUUUUUUGAACUUGAAUUUCUGUUGUUUUUGAACUUGAGGUAUUGGAAAUUGUUAAACCUUUGAAUCAGCUGUUGGUUGAACUUGAGUUUGUGUUUUGUUGAACUUGAGUUUGUGUCGUGUUUGAACUUUGGUUUGUGGUGUUUUUGAACUUGAGUUUGUGGUGUUUUUGAACUUAAGUUUGUGGUGUUUUUCAACUUGAGUUCGUGGUUUUUUUUAACUUGAGGUUGUGGAAAUUGUUAUACUUGAGACCUGGGUAUAGGUCGAACUUGAGUUUUUUUUUUUUUAACAUGAGUUUGUGUCGUGUUUGAACUUGAGUUUGUGGUGUUUUUGGACUUGAGUUUGUGGUGUUUUUAACUUAAAGGUUUGCCAAUGUUAAACUUGAGAAACUGGUAUUGGUUGAACUAGAGUUUUUGGUGUUUUUGAACUUGAGUUUUUGGAAAUUGUUAAACUUGAGAAUCAGAUGUUGGAUGAACUUGAGUUAGUGUGUUUUUUGAACUUGAGUUUGUGUCAUGUUUUAACUUGAGUUUGUGAUGUUUUUGAAUUUGAGUUUGUGUGUUUGUUGAACUUGAGUUUGUGUUGUGUUUGAACUUGAAUUUGUGGCAAAUGUUGAACUUGAGUCUGUGCUUUUUGGUGAACUUUAGUUGGUGGGAAUUGUUGAACUUGAGUUUGUGGCAUAUGUUGAACUUGAGUUUGUGACGUGUUUGAACUUGCGUUAGUUUUUUUUACUUGAGGUUGUGGUGUUUUUGAACUUGAGGUUUUGGAAAUUGUUUAACUUGAGAAUUGGGUAUUGGUUUAACUUGAGUUUGUGUGUUUGUUGAACUUGAGGUUGUGGCAAUUGUUAAACUUGAGUUUGUGGUGUUUUUGAACUUGAGUUUGUGUGUUUUUUGAACUUGAGUUUGCGGUGUGUUUGAACUAGAGUUUCUGUUGUUUUUGAACUUGAGUUUGUGGCAUUUGUUGAACUUGAGUUUGUGACGUGUUUGAACUUGGGUUUGUGUGUUUUUUGAACUUGAAUUUCUGUUGUUUUUGAACUUGAGGUAUUGGAAAUUGUUAAACCUUAGAAUCAGCUGUUGGUUGAACUUGAGUUUGUGUUUUGUUGAACUUGAGUUUGUGUUGUGUUUGAACUUGAGUUUGUGGUGUUUUUGAACUUAAGUUUGUGGUGUUUUUGAACUUGUGUUUGUGUGUUUGUUGAACUUGAGUUUGCGGUGUGUUUGAACUAGAGUUUCUGUUGUUUUUGAACUUGAGUUUGUGGCAUUUGUUGAACUUGAGUUUGGGACGUGUUUGAACUUGGGUUUGUGUGUUUUUUGAACUUGAAUUUCUGUUGUUUUUGAACUUGAGGUAUUGGAAAUUGUUAAACCUUAGAAUCAGCUGUUGGUUGAACUUGAGUUUGUGUUUUGUUGAACUUGAGUUUGUGUCGUGUUUGAACUUUGGUUUGUGGUGUUUUUGAACUUGAGUUUGUGGUGUUUUUGAACUUAAGUUUGUGGUGUUUUUCAACUUGAGUUCGUGGUUUUUUUUAACUUGAGGUUGUGGAAAUUGUUAUUUUGAGACCUGGGUAUAGGUCGAACUUGAGUUUUUUUUAACAUGAGUUUGUGUCGUGUUUGAACUUGAGUUUGUGGUGUUUUUGGACUUGAGUUUGUGGUGUUUUUAACUUAAGGGUGUGCCAAAUGUUAAACUUGAGAAACUGGUAUUGGUUGAACUAGAGUUUUUGGUGUUUUUGAACUUGAGUUUUUGGAAAUUGUUAAACUUGAGAAUCAGAUGUUGGAUGAACUUGAGUUAGUGUGUUUUUUGAACUUGAGUUUGUGUCAUGUUUUAACUUGAGUUUGUGAUGUUUUUGAAUUUGAGUUUGUGUGUUUGUUGAACUUGAGUUUGUGUUGUGUUUGAACUUGAAUUUGUGGCAAAUGUUGAACUUGAGUCUGUGCUUUUUGGUGAACUUUAGUUGGUGGGAAUUGUUGAACUUGAGUUUGUGGCAUAUGUUGAACUUGAGUUUGUGACGUGUUUGAACUUGCGUUAGUUUUUUUUUUACUUGAGGUUGUGGUGUUUUUGAACUUGAGGUUUUGGAAAUUGUUUAACUUGAGAAUUGGGUAUUGGUUUAACUUGAGUUUGUGUGUUUGUUGAACUUGAGGUUGUGGCAAUUGUUAAACUUGAGUUUGUGGUGUUUUUGAACUUGAGUUUGUGUGUUUUUUGAACUUGAGUUUGCGGUGUGUUUGAACUAGAGUUUCUGUUGUUUUUGAACUUGAGUUUGUGGCAUUUGUUGAACUUGAGUUUGUGACGUGUUUGAACUUGGGUUUGUGUGUUUUUUGAACUUGAAUUUCUGUUGUUUUUGAACUUGAGGUAUUGGAAAUUGUUAAACCUUAGAAUCAGCUGUUGGUUGAACUUGAGUUUGUGUUUUGUUGAACUUGAGUUUGUGUCGUGUUUGAACUUGAGUUUGUGGUGUUUUUGAACUUGAGUUUGUGUGUUUGUUGAACUUGAGUUUGUGUUGUGUUUGAACUUGAGUUUGUGGUGUUUUUGAACUUAAGUUUGUGGUGUUUUUGAACUUGAGUUUGUGUGUUUGUUGAACUUGAGUUUGCGGUGUGUUUGAACUAGAGUUUCUGUUGUUUUUGAACUUGAGUUUGUGGCAUUUGUUGAACUUGAGUUUGUGACGUGUUUGAACUUGGGUUUGUGUGUUUUUUGAACUUGAGCUUGUGUGUUUGUUGAACUUGAGUUUGUGUUGUGUUUGAACUUGAGGUUGUGGCAAUUGUUAAACUUGAGUUUGUGGUGUUUUUGAACUUGAGUUUUCGGUGUGUUUGAACUAGAGUUUCUGUUGUUUUUGAAUUUGAGUUUGUGGCAUUUGUUGAACUUGAGUUUGUGACAUGUUUGAACUUGGGUUUGUGUGUUUUUUGAACUUGAAUUUCUGUUGUUUUUGAACUUGAGGUAUUGGAAAUUGUUAAACCUUAGAAUCAGCUGUUGGUUGAACUUGAGUUUGUGUUUUGUUGAACUUGAGUUUGUGUCGUGUUUGAACUUUGGUUUGUGGUGUUUUUGAACUUGAGUUUGUGUGUUUGUUGAACUUGAGUUUGUGUUUUGUUGAACUUGAGUUUGUGUCGUGUUUGAACUUUGUUUUGUGGUGUUUUUGAACUUGAGUUUGUGUGUUUGUUGAACUUGAGUUUGUGUUGUGUUUGAACUUGAGUUUGUGGUGUUUUUGAACUUAAGUUUGUGGUGUUUUUCAACUUGAGUUUGUGGUUUUUUUUAACUUGGUGUAUUUGAAAUUGUUAUACUUGAGACCUGGGUAUAGGUCGAACUUGAGUUUUUUUUUUUUAACAUGAGUUUGUGUCGUGUUUGAACUUGAGCUUGUGGUGUUUUUGGACUUGAGUUUGUGGUGUUUUUAACUUAAGGGUGUGCCAAAUGUUAAACUUGAGAAACUGGUAUUGGUUGAACUAGAGUUUUUGGUGUUUUUGAACUUGAGUUUUUGGAAAUUGUUAAACUUGAGAAUCAGAUGUUGGAUGAACUUGAGUUAGUGUGUUUUUUGAACUUGAGUUUGUGUCAUGUUUUAACUUGAGUUUGUGAUGUUUUUGAAUUUGAGUUUGUGUGUUUGUUGAACUUGAGUUUGUGUUGUGUUUGAACUUGAAUUUGUGGCAAAUGUUGAACUUGAGUCUGUGCUUUUUGGUGAACUUUAGUUGGUGGGAAUUGUUGAACUUGAGUUUGUGGCAUAUGUUGAACUUGAGUUUGUGACGUGUUUGAACUUGCGUUAGUUUUUUUUUUACUUGAGUUUGUGGUGUUUUUGAACUUGAGGUUUUGGAAAUUGUUUAACUUGAGAAUUGGGUAUUGGUUUAACUUGAGUUUGUGUGUUUGUUGAACUUGAGGUUGUGGCAAUUGUUAAACUUGAGUUUGUGGUGUUUUUGAACUUGAGUUUGUGUGUUUUUUGAACUUGAGUUUGCGGUGUGUUUGAACUAGAGUUUCUGUUGUUUUUGAACUUGAGUUUGUGGCAUUUGU